AAUAUUGGACAAUGGGCGAAAGCCUGAUCCAGCCAUGCCGCGUGUGUGAAGAAGGNCUNNGGAUUNUNAAGCACUUUAAGUUGNNNNNAAGGGUUGUAGAUUAAUACCCUGCACUUUUGACGUUACCAACAGAAUAAGCACCGGCUAAAUGCGUGCCAGCAGCCGCGGUAAUACGUAGGGUGCAAGCGUUAAUCGGAAUUACUGGGCGUAAAGCGUGCGCAGGCGGUUCGGAAAGAAAGAUGUGAAAUCCCAGGGCUUAACCUUGGAACUGCAUUUUUAACUACCGGGCUAGAGUGUGUCAGAGGGAGGUGGAAUUCCGCGUGUAGCAGUGAAAUGCGUAGAUAUAGGAAGGAACACCAGUGGCGAAGGCGACCACCUGGGCUAAUACUGACACUGAGGUGCGAAAGCGUGGGGAGCAAACAGG
RNAcentral lists this ribosomal RNA (424 nucleotides) under uncultured bacterium. RNAcentral describes it as "partial 16S ribosomal RNA". It matches the Rfam family "Bacterial small subunit ribosomal RNA", at positions 360 to 776 of the family's 1533-position model. The record is from RNAcentral.